UACGGAGGAGGCAAGCGUUAUCCGGAUUGAUUGGGCGUAAAGGGUCCGUAGGUGGUUUAGAAAGUCCGCUGUUAAAGCCAGUAGCUCAACUACUGAUCAGCAGUGGAAACUACUAGACUUGAGAGCAGUAGGGGUCACGGGAAUUUCCAGAGUAGCGGUGAAAUGCGUAGAGACUGGAAAGAACACCAACAGCGAAGGCACGUGACUGGGCUGUAUCUGACACUGAGGGACGAAAGCCAGGGGAGCGAAAGGG
RNAcentral lists this ribosomal RNA (253 nucleotides) under uncultured bacterium. Its description in RNAcentral is "partial 16S ribosomal RNA". It matches the Rfam family "Bacterial small subunit ribosomal RNA", at positions 524 to 776 of the family's 1533-position model. The record is from RNAcentral.